This 386-nucleotide small RNA is filed under the name Arabidopsis thaliana (thale cress). RNAcentral describes it as "ATSL263700". The record is from RNAcentral. Lineage: Eukaryota; Viridiplantae; Streptophyta; Magnoliopsida; Brassicales; Brassicaceae.
UAUUUUUUUUGAUAACUCGAUCGGGUGAUCUAGUUCAAUAGACACCACAAUUUCCGAGCCAGGUUGCAGUGAUUUUUCUCCCUAGAUGGUUCUCGGGUCAACGGGGCAUGAGAUCUGAGUAAUCCCGGGGCCAAGAGGAGGCAUAUGAAAAAACCCUCACACCACACGGAAAGUCACCCAUCCUUAGAUUUUCCCAGCUUAAGCAAGCUUAACCGUGGAGUUCUCUCAGGACGUUUGACCGAAUAUAUAAGUAUACUUUGGUGAUAUAGUCGGUGAAAUCACUUCUUUUAAACCUCUACGCAUACACAACCAUAUUCUAGAAACCGGGGUAUUACAUUUACCUUCACUUUCUUCUUCUUCUUCAUGUUUUGAAGUUGACAAAUAUU